This is a long non-coding RNA of Cyprinus carpio carpio, 1604 nucleotides long. NCBI's taxonomy places the organism in Eukaryota, Metazoa, Chordata, Actinopteri, Cypriniformes, Cyprinidae. The record is from Ensembl.
GGACCCUGGGCCGUCUGCAUCUGUGGAUUACAGGCAGGCUCAGCGGCGAAGUGUGGCAACUCGGGCUCCUCCUCCUCCCCCUGCUGGCAGGAGCAGGACUCAAAAACGGAGAGACAUGAGGAGGAAGAGGAAGGACUUGAGGGAGGUUAUUGAAGCCAAACGCGUGGGUGGAACAGAUGUGCCUCACGUUAAAGGAAAGAGAUAAUUUUCCUUUCUCCUUCCUAUCCUAGCCCCCCCCCCCCUCACACCAUUGGGUUCUGAGGUAUUCACCACGCUUCACAUCGGGCCCUGAACUGAACCUAUGAUGUUUGAGCAGAUUUGUGUAGCUUACACUUUCUGUUAUACUGAGGUUCGGUGAAAGCCUGUAUCUGGUAGUGUGGUAGUAUAAGUUCUAUGCAGUGACAUUUGGUUUCGGCCCUUUGGUGGGCCACCUUGGUAAACUGUCAUAUAGCUGAGUAGGUUUGGUCUCCUCUCACUUAAGAGAGUCUUUCUGCUGAGGCCUCCGCUCAUCAGAGCUCCAGUUAGGCAGUGUAAUCAAGUGUUCGGCCCUCUGUGAGGCCGCCUUGAUGAACAGUCUUAUGUUGAGUAGGUUUGGUCUCCUCUCGCUUAAGAGAGUCAUUCUGCUGAGGCCCCCGCUCAUCAGAGCUCAAGUUAGGUUAAGUAGGUUUGGCCUCCUCUCGCUUGAGAGAGUCAUUCUGCUGAGGCAUCCGCUCAUCAGAGCUCCAGUUAGGUUGAGUAGGUUUGGCUUCCUCUCGCUUAGAGAGUCAAUCUGCUGAGGCCUCCGCUCACCUGAGCUCCAGCUAGACUUGGAAUCAAGUGUUCGGCCCUCUGUGAGGCCGCCUUGAUAAACAGUCUUAUGUUGAGUAGGUUUGGCUUCCUCUCGCUUAGAGAGUCAAUCUGCUGAGGCCUCCGCUCACCUGAGCUCCAGCUAGACUUGGAAUCAAGUGUUCGGCCCUCUGUGAGGCCGCCUUGAUAAACAGUCUUAUGUCGAGUAGGUUUGGCCUCCUCUCGCUUAAGAGAGUCAUUCUGCUGAGGCCUCCACUCAUCAGAGCUCCAGUUAGUGUAAUCAACUGUUCGGCCCUCUUUGAGGCCGCCUUGAUAAACAGUCUUAUGUUGAGUAGGUUUGGCCUCCUCUCAUGUAAGAGAGUCGUUCUGCUGAAGCCUCCACUCUCCAGAGCUCCGCAUAGGCAGUUUAAAGGUGCAGACUCUUCCUCUGAGCCUUACUAAUUGUCUAGUGUUGAGUGUAGCCAGGUCUCCUUUCGUUCCGAGAGUUGUUUGCUUGACCUCCACUCUGGAGCUCCAGACGUUGGUGGGUGAGCUAAUCUAUGACGUUCCUUUGAGUCUGACUCAGGGAAUCCAGUUGUUUGAGCUCGUCCCUCAGCAUGGCGGCGUUGAGAUAUCGUUCCCCUAGCGCCCUCUAGAGGACGCAGCGUGGAGUUCCCUUUCGAAAGGGAACGUCUCAGGUUACACAUGUAACCAUGGUUCCCUGAGAAUAGGGAACGAGACGCUGCGUCCCUCGGCCAUGCUUCGGACACUCCCGCUUCCUUCAGACAAAGAAGUGGAUGAUGUGUUCCACGGUGCCCUUUUUAUACCCGCAGUCGCAU